GGUUGAUCCUGCCAGUAGUCAUAUGCUUGUCUCAGAGAUUAAGCCAUGCAUGUCUAAGUACAUACCUUAAAACGGUGAAACCGCGAAUGGCUCAUUAAAUCAGCUAUGGUUCCUUGGAUCGUACAUACUACAUGGAUAACUGUAGUAAUUCUAGAGCUAAUACAUGCCACUAAGCCCUGACCCGCAAGGGGACGGGUGGAUUUAUUAGAACAGAACCAACCGGUUGUGGCUUCGGUCAUGGCCGUUGUACUCUGUGAUGACUCUGGAUAACUUUACUGAUCGCAGUCGGCCUU
RNAcentral lists this ribosomal RNA (293 nucleotides) under uncultured eukaryote. RNAcentral describes it as "partial 18S ribosomal RNA". It matches the Rfam family "Eukaryotic small subunit ribosomal RNA", at positions 6 to 280 of the family's 1831-position model. The record is from RNAcentral.